AUUGAACGCUGGCGGCAGGCCUAACACAUGCAAGUCGAACGGUAACAGGAAGAAGCUUGCUUCUUUGCUGACGAGUGGCGGACGGGUGAGUAAUGUCUGUGAACCUCCCUGAUGGCGGGGGAUAACUACUGGAAACGGUAGCUAAUACCGCAUAACUUCGCAAGACCAAAGAGCGGGACCUUCGGGCCUCUUGCCAGCGGAUGUGCCCAGGUGGGAUUAUCUAUUUGGUAGGGUAACGGCUCACCUAGGCAACGAUCCCUAGCUGGUCUCCGAGGGUGACCCGCCACACUGGAACUGGGACACGGUCCAGACUCCUACGGGAGGCAGCAGGAGGGAAUUUUGCACAAUGGGCGCAAGCCUGACGGAGCAACGCCGCGUGAGUGAAGAAGGGCUUCGGAUCGUAAAACUCUUUUAGGCGGGAAGAAAAGAUGUAAAAUUAACUGUUCACAUCUUGACGGUACCCAAGAAGAAAGCCACGGCUAACUACGGG
RNAcentral lists this ribosomal RNA (490 nucleotides) under uncultured bacterium. RNAcentral's name for it is "partial 16S ribosomal RNA". It matches the Rfam family "Bacterial small subunit ribosomal RNA", at positions 30 to 507 of the family's 1533-position model. The record is from RNAcentral.